Molecule: long non-coding RNA, 225 nt
Organism: Grammomys surdaster
Lineage: Eukaryota; Metazoa; Chordata; Mammalia; Rodentia; Muridae
Exons: 2
Source: RefSeq, a predicted model, not a curated record
GGCUCAAGGGGGUUGUGCGUGGCGGCGCCCCUGGCGGUGUGUGCAGUGAGCGGCUGGGACUGGGAUCCCGAUCCCGGAAAGCCAGCCUUCCCAGAUCUGGCUCUAGAACUCUCAGCUGCUUUAGCACCAUGACUGCCUGCAUGCCGCCGUGUUCCCCUCCACGUUGACAAUAGACUAAACUUCUGAAGCUGCAAGUCCCAAUUAAAUGCUUUCUUUUAUAAAAGA